This 253-nucleotide ribosomal RNA is filed under the name uncultured bacterium. RNAcentral describes it as "partial 16S ribosomal RNA". It matches the Rfam family "Bacterial small subunit ribosomal RNA", at positions 524 to 776 of the family's 1533-position model. The record is from RNAcentral.
UACGAGGGGGGCAAAUGUUGUUCGGAAUCACUGGGCGUAAAGGGAGCGUAGGCGGGUGUUUAAGUUAGGUGUUUAAUCCUGGGGCCCAACCCCAGUCGUGCACCUAAAACUGGACAUCUUGAAUAGUGGAGAGGUCAGUGGAAUUGGGGGUGUAGCGGUGGAAUGCGUAGAGAUCCCCAAGAACACCAGUUGCGAAGGCGGCUGACUGGACACAUAUUGACGCUGAGGCUCGAAAGCUAGGGGAGCAAACAGG